Molecule: transfer RNA, 88 nt
Filed under: Deltaproteobacteria bacterium
Lineage: Bacteria; Pseudomonadati; Myxococcota; Myxococcia
Also listed under: 3 other names
Description: tRNA-Ser
Rfam family: tRNA
About the family: Transfer RNA (tRNA) molecules are approximately 80 nucleotides in length.
Source: RNAcentral
GGAGGGAUGGCCGAGUGGUUGAAGGCGGCGGUCUUGAAAACCGUUGUCCCGAGAGGGACCGUGGGUUCGAAUCCUACUCCCUCCGCCA